Dermochelys coriacea (leatherback sea turtle) is the source of this 431-nucleotide long non-coding RNA. RefSeq lists it as uncharacterized. The record is from RefSeq and is a predicted model, not a curated record. NCBI's taxonomy places the organism in Eukaryota, Metazoa, Chordata, Testudines, Dermochelyidae. The transcript is spliced from 2 exons.
UGCAACUAGCUGCUGCUUACUGCCCAUCUCUUAACUUCUGCCUGGUUUCCCUCUCCUACUCCUGAGAAGGAUGGUGCACAUCUCACAGAUACCAUCUGGACUCGGCAAACUUUGAAGGCAUAAAAAAUAUGUAACAGGAUCAUAUGAAGACAAUGUGACUGCAAAAGAACAACCAGCCACACAUGUGAAAACAAUAAUGCCUUGUUCCCUGACUACAGUUUGGCUACAUGCUGUUAGGCAAGUGGGUUAUGAUAACAGUUUAUAGAGGGCCGUUGUUAAAAAUAAAUAUGUAAUGUAGUGUAAAAUAGGGAUCUCAAACACCCAAUUGCAUAUGUAACAUCCAACUACCUGUAGGAAAAAUAUGGCCUAUUUAAUAUUCAAAAAAUGGCAGUUAAGUCUUUGAUACCAAACCAUAAUAUACACCCAGAGCU